RNAcentral lists this ribosomal RNA (429 nucleotides) under Chloroflexota bacterium. Its description in RNAcentral is "Chloroflexi bacterium partial 16S ribosomal RNA". It matches the Rfam family "Bacterial small subunit ribosomal RNA", at positions 355 to 776 of the family's 1533-position model. Lineage: Bacteria; Bacillati; Chloroflexota. The record is from RNAcentral.
UGGGGAAUAUUGCACAAUGGGCGCAAGCCUGAUGCAGCCAUGCCGCGUGUGUGAAGAAGGCCUUCGGGUUGUAAAGUACUUUCAGUCGGGAGGAAGGUGUCAAGGUUAAUAACCUUGGCUAUUGACGUUACCGACAGAAGAAGCACCGGCUAACUCCGUGCCAGCAGCCGCGGUAAUACGGAGGGUGCAAGCGUUAAUCGGAAUUACUGGGCGUAAAGCGCACGCAGGCGGUUGAUUGAGUCAGAUGUGAAAUCCCCGGGCUUAACCCGGGAAGUGCGUCUGAUACUGGUCAGCUAGAGUCUUGUAGAGGGGGGUAGAAUUCCAUGUGUAGCGGUGAAAUGCGUAGAGAUGUGGAGGAAUACCGGUGGCGAAGGCGGCCCCCUGGACAAAGACUGACGCUCAGGUGCGAAAGCGUGGGGAGCAAACAGG